AAAAAAAAAAUGGUGUGAGUCACUUCUGGUUGAAGCUUCCAGAAAGGGAGUAGAAAUGCUAAUGCUGUGCUGUGUAGAGAGCCCAGAUGACAGCAGACUGCUGGGCUCCCACAGAUGGUUCAUAGCCUCACUGCCCCAGCACGGAUCACCUCACAGUGGCCGCCCAGCGUGUAUGGUGUGGAGGGGCCAGAACAGGUAUUCAUUUUGUGAAAGCAUUUCAAUGAGUCAUUCACUCAUGAACAAGCCCUUAAUAGAACACCGGACGCAGUGCUGUUGGUAGUGGUGGUUCUGCUGCGUGGUGGGGAUCAUUCUGGCGGUCUGUAAGAGUUCCAGAAGAAUGUGUGACUUGAUUAAAUAAGGGGGGCUACGCCAGUAGUCUUUCAGAUGGCCCAGAAUUCUCAGUCCACUGAUGUUGGAAAAUCGACCUACGUCGGACAGAUUGAGUUCAAUGGGGCUAUAUCUCUCAGCUCUUCUAUUAGUGGAAUAGAAUUAUGCUCUUGGAGGUCUCAAAUAGCUCUUGUGCACAAGUGGUCCCCGUCCUACUGCUGAGGGAUGGAAAACUUCUGGAGCAUAAGUGAUUAAUGCAAUGAGCACCACCUGUCGCACUAAGAGCUUCAUCGGGUCAGUGAGCACGGGGUGAGAGCUGACCUGAGCUUUGGAUCCCAGACGGUCUGCUUGUGGUCUCAGAGAUGAAAUGUUUCUCUCUCUCUCUCUCUCUCUCACACACUCACUCACUCUCUCUCUCUCUCUCGCUCUCUCUCACUCUCUCUAUUUCGCUCACUCUCUCUCGCUCUCUCUGUCACUCUCUCUUUCUCUUUCACUCUCUCCUUCACCCCCUCCCUCAGCAGAGAUUGUUUUCUGAUUGCUGAAGAGGUAAUCAAAGCCUGAGGGGAGGGGAAAGUGCACUUCUGGAAAAUGCCAUCACUACUGUGGGGGAAAAAAAAGAGAGAGAUGGCUUCCAUCUGUCUUGGCAAAAUUACACUUCAGAUUUAGGCCUGAGGUGAGUUUCACCUGUCUUCCCCUCAAUUACUGUGGGGACAUUUAAGGGGAAAAAGGAGUUAGCAAGAAUUUGAAUGAGGUGUCUGGAUCUUUGGUGUCUGGGGCAUUCCAUCAAACACCAAACCUCCAACCCAUCCAAGAGCCUAACUGGCUCUUUCGUGAAGAAAUGGUUUGUCUAAUAGACAAAUAUUGAAGCAUUGGUUCUUCUUUACUCUUUUGCAAAUCCUAUUUCGAAAGUGGAAGUGGCUGAGAUUAUGAAAUAUUUGCCAUUUUGACAGCUUGCUAUUUGCAGUCUGGAUACGGAAAAUCUCUCAAUAUUCUUUAUUAGAAUAGAAAAACCUAGUAAAACCCUUAAACUAGGACAAUUGUAACUUCAGUUAUAGUCAAUGAAGCAUAUCAUUAAUUUCCUAUUCAGAUUCAUUCUUUUAUCAUUCUGAAGUGAGAUUACAUAGGAACACUAAACAUUACACUGAGAACUGGCAGGCAUGAUAACGUCAUUCGUUAUCCAGUUAACUGGGGUAAUAGCCAUGGAGUCACAUAAUCGCUGACAGGAAUGGAUGUAAUAAAUCUCAAGACUAACAGUCCAACUUCCUUGUGAGUUUCUUCUCCUCAAAGGCCUCUGCCUCGUUUUGGACCUCGCAUCUCUUGAAGGCGGAGGUGGUGGUCAGGCGAACCUGUCCCUGCUCGGCUUUGAGAAAGUCUGUUGAGGUUAAUUACAGAAGCAGCAGCUCGCCAAACUGAUGGCCAAUCAAGCUAUGGAACAAUGAGUCACCUUGGACAACAGGAGAUGGAACUGGUUCUGAAGCUAGGGUUGCCAUGGGGAUACAGCGGGCUCUGAGUGAUGACCCCCAAGUCUUGUCUUCCUUCGACUAAAUUGGCACAUCCAUCCUGUGUGACAGUCCCUUUGAAAUGUAGCCAUCACGGCCAGAAUCAGUCAGCGGGUUACAUCUUGCCCUGUCAAGUCUGUAGGGGGAUCAAAGCCAAAUGUGUGCAGCUGUGGCGUUGUCACAUAUUUAAUGCCCAAGUUUUAGCCUUCAGUAGUUUCCCUGUGCCCUGUCAUAACAUGCAGAAGUUUCUCCCUUCCCCGGAUAUGAAGUGCAGAGACACAUUAAUUUGUUUGGAAGGCUCCAGAGAGGCCACUUAGCCAUGGCUGAAAUCUCUGUGAGUAACGCCGUUGGAUAACCAAAUUUCACACAAAAAAAAGUCAACACGCUCCCUGAUCUCCCCCCUCCCCUGCAAAACCCCCACAGACAGCAGUUACACGCUGGAGACAGGCAGAGGCCAUUUGUCAUUGUGAGUGUUCGUGUUUCCUCUUAUCCGAGAGGGAGGGAGAGAGAGAGAGAGAGAGAGAGAAAGAGAGGUCAAGAGAGACAUUUGGAGACAGUAAAGAGGACAAGAGACACGGG
Molecule: long non-coding RNA, 2405 nt
Organism: Clupea harengus (Atlantic herring)
Lineage: Eukaryota; Metazoa; Chordata; Actinopteri; Clupeiformes; Clupeidae
Source: Ensembl